AGCGAACGCUGGCGGCAGGCUUAACACAUGCAAGUCGAGCGGGCAUCCUUGUGGUGUCAGCGGCAGACGGGUGAGUAACGCGUGGGAACGCGCCCUUCGGUUCGGAAUAACUCAGGGAAACUUGAGCUAAUACCGGAUACGUGCGAGAGCAGAAAGGUUUAUCUGCCGAAGGAUCGGCCCGCGUCUGAUUAGCUAGUUGGUGAGGUUAUGGCUCACCAAGGCGACGAUCAGUAGCUGGUCUGAGAGGAUGAUCAGCCACACUGGGACUGAGACACGGCCCAGACUCCUACGGGAGGCAGCAGUGGGGAAUAUUGGACAAUGGGGGCAACCCUGAUCCAGCCAUGCCGCGUGAGUGAUGACGGCCUUAGGGUUGUAAAGCUCUUUUCUCCGGGACGAUAAUGACGGUACCGGAGGAAUAAGCCCCGGCUAACUUCGUG
This 437-nucleotide ribosomal RNA is filed under the name uncultured bacterium. RNAcentral describes it as "partial 16S ribosomal RNA". It matches the Rfam family "Bacterial small subunit ribosomal RNA", at positions 29 to 507 of the family's 1533-position model. The record is from RNAcentral.